This 528-nucleotide ribosomal RNA is filed under the name Candidatus Dadabacteria bacterium. RNAcentral describes it as "bacterial SSU rRNA". It matches the Rfam family "Bacterial small subunit ribosomal RNA", at positions 1 to 537 of the family's 1533-position model. The record is from RNAcentral. Lineage: Bacteria; Pseudomonadati; Thermodesulfobacteriota; Candidatus Dadabacteria.
AUGAAGAGUUUGAUCCUGGCUCAGAGCGAACGCUGGCGGCACGCCUAACACAUGCAAGUCGAGCGAGAAAGUGACUUCGGUCGCGAGUAAAGCGGCGAACGGGUGAGUACAACGUGGAUAAUCUACCCUAGGGUCUGGGACAACCCCGAGAAAUCGGGGCUAAUACCGGAUAAGACCACAGUAUCCAAGGAUACAGCGGUAAAAGAUUUAUCGCCUUUGGAUGAGUCCACGCCCCAUCAGGUAGUUGGUAAGGUAAAGGCUUACCAAGCCUAAGACGGGUAGCCGGCCUUAGCGGGUGAACGGCCACAUGGGGACUGAGACACGGCCCUGACUCCUACGGGAGGCAGCAGUGGGGAAUAUUGGGCAAUGGGCGAAAGCCUGACCCAGCGAUGCCGCGUGAGGGAUGAAGGCCUUCGGGUUGUAAACCUCUGUCAGGAGGGACGAUGGGACACUUGUGUCUUGACGGUACCUCCAGAGGAAGCCCCGGCUAACUCCGUGCCAGCAGCCGCGGUAAUACGGAGGGGGCAA